AUCUCAGCGACUGGAUAGAAACAUUCAAAGAUCAAUGCAUUGACAAGGAAAGUCUUUACUGUCUGGGUGAUCAAGAAAUUGCUGAAUUGAUCCCAACAGUGGGACCAAGGUCAAAAUUCAAGAAGAGACUCAAGUUGUUAAAGG
Molecule: long non-coding RNA, 144 nt
Organism: Cottoperca gobio
Lineage: Eukaryota; Metazoa; Chordata; Actinopteri; Perciformes; Bovichtidae
Exons: 2
Source: RefSeq, a predicted model, not a curated record